Molecule: non-coding RNA, 28 nt
Filed under: Homo sapiens (human)
Lineage: Eukaryota; Metazoa; Chordata; Mammalia; Primates; Hominidae
Source: RNAcentral
UACCUUGGAAGUAGUGAAGUUGCCUUAU